This 72-nucleotide transfer RNA is filed under the name Pirellulaceae bacterium. RNAcentral's name for it is "tRNA-Lys". It matches the Rfam family "tRNA". From Rfam's summary of the family: Transfer RNA (tRNA) molecules are approximately 80 nucleotides in length. Their secondary structure includes four short double-helical elements and three loops (D, anti-codon, and T loops). The record is from RNAcentral. Lineage: Bacteria; Pseudomonadati; Planctomycetota; Planctomycetia; Pirellulales; Pirellulaceae.
GGGGUCGUGGUGUAAUGGCAGCACAGCGGACUUUUAAUCCGCCGAGUGGGGGUUCGAGUCCCUCCGAUCCCA